ACUUCCGGCCCCGGAGGGCAGGAGGCGGGGCCGAGGCGCUUCCGGCCUGUGCUCCGGGAUUUACCGCGGCUGGGCGGCGCUUCUGCUGAGAGAAGGCGGGAGCGGCUGGAGAGGGUUGCGGGUGCCAGAGGGAAGCUCCGAAGAGCCCUGUAGCUCCGUGGCUUAGGUGAAGCCGGCAGAAAACCCCGAGGAGCUUCGGAGGCCUGCGACUUAGGGGGAGCCGGCGUCGCCUGGUCCCGAGCGUGGGCGAGUUUCGGCGCAGCAGGCGUCUCAGUCAAUGACUCAAAGACACCCCGACUUCCCUAAUUCUCUAGGGUGUAAAUAAGCGCAGACUAAGCCUUGGCCUGCAAAGCUGCCGAGACAGGACACCUCUAACAGCAGACUCUUGUAUCACCAUCCUUACCUCGUUCUACUCUGUUGUUCAAAAUGUAGUCUCUCAACCAUCCCCAUCAAGUUCACCUGAGGCGGUUGUUGAAGCUGAGAUCCCUGGGCCCUACCCCAGUAGGCCUCCUAAAGCCCAAGGUUUUUAGCCUCUAACGGUAUACAACAAGGCAGAGAAGAACCUGGAGAAAGGCUCAGUUCUCCAGGAAAUUUAAUUCCUGAGACUUUAGUAGUAUCUUGACUUGGACUAGUAAAGCUGACAGCAGCCAGACAGCAUCCGACAAUUACUAUGCUUCUUGAUACCGAAGGCCGAGAGAUUAGAGACACAGCAAUCGUGAUCGCUUGGGCGCACUGAGUCACGGCCCAACAGAUUUACUCCAUUAUUAAGUAUGAGCAAAUCAGCAGCUAGGUUUUUCAUAGGCUGUUGCUCAGAAUCUUUGACCCCAAAAAAUCGUGAAUCUGAGCAAUAUCUCCGUUUCUCCACCUGAACCUGUUUAUAGGCCAGCUGGGAAAGGAUAGAAGAAGCCAGCAGAAGUCCAUGUGUAUGAACAGGGCUGGAGUGAUCCAUGCUUCAACAGCAGUCCCUUCAACUUUGCUUGAAUGUGGAGGCUGCGUACAUCACAAGCUCUGCAGACUACAAGUUGAUGAAUAGAACUUCACUCAACCACACAACAAUGGAGGUGACCUACUGUUUUACAUCCUCUCUUAUAAACUGCUAAGGGAGUUAUUUUGCAGUGACAAAGCUUCUCUUCUAGUAUCCUGACACAUCCUAGGACUUUGAUGUUGGAAAUCCUUCCUUCCAAUCAAAUUCUGGUUCUAAAACCACAGAACUAUUUGAGAAACCAGACACAAACUUAUGCCAUGUUGCAACCAGAGAGGAAGAAGCUUGAAAACAAAGCCAACGCAAUGAGACAACACAGCAGAAAGCGGAAAGAACCUGAGUCUUUGGUGAUGCUAUUGAGCUGAUGAAUUAGACCUGGAGGACACCUGCUAUGGGCUUCCUGUCAUCUAAGGUAAUAAAUGUCUUUACUGUUUAAACCAGUGUUUCAUUAUUUUCUGUAGAAAGCCUCCUAAUUAGGGUAAGUACCUAUUAACCUCACUUAACUCCUUACAAUGUCCUUUUUCUUGAUCUUGCUGAAGUCAUCUAUUGAGAAUAACAGAAAAUCGCAGAUGGUGAUUCUGAUCCCAUCUCCUUAGAUGUGACCUUAGGUCUCUCACUCAGAAUGACUAUGGUUUAUGAAACAUCGGAAAUACUGGGAAGAGUAGGAAGGAGGUGGGUAGGAUGAGGUAUCUGGUGAUGGAGGUGAUCUGUGUCUGGUAAGGUGAAGUGUGAAAACUAAGCAAAAGAUGCAAAUGGAAAUCAGAGAGAAAGCAGCUCUUCUGAGCAGACCCUUAGAAAUACAGUCUUAGGGACACGUGAGCCACAUCUUUGGGGAGAGUUGUGGAAUCUACAUUAUAGGAGUGGCAUCACUUAGAUCUAUGUUCUUCUCUCAGGGGGAGAAAUCAGUGUUCAUAGGAUAUCAGAGGGUUCUUGUCAUGCCUGUCUUCUUCAGAAACAGACCAAAUUCUGACAUGUCUCAUGAUGACAUGAUGAUCUAAAAGUGAGAGGCUUGAUUUCAAUUUUUCCUAUAAGCUCCCAAAAGACCUAUGGUAUUGCUGCUCUCUUUCAGCCUGGCAUAAGUCUCACAAACUAGAAGGCAGACUUAACAUUCAAUCUAGGGUAGUUCUCCCCAGUGACCUCUUGCUUUUUCUAAACAUCUUCAUAAAGACAUAGUAAUAUUCUACUGUGAAUUAUAUGAGAGCUGUUCAUGUGGAUUUAAACAGUAAAUCUAACAAAUAGGCUGCUCUUUGCCUGAUGACUCAGAGAUAUUUAUGUAUUCUUACAUUUCAGGCAUUUGAGGAAAAAAAUAAUUCCUGAAUAUAUUGUAUUCAAUUGAGUUUGAAAGAGGAAAAGAAUAGAAAAACAAUAGAGAGAAUCAAUGAAGUCAAAAAUUGGUCC
Molecule: non-coding RNA, 2380 nt
Organism: Equus caballus (horse)
Lineage: Eukaryota; Metazoa; Chordata; Mammalia; Perissodactyla; Equidae
Source: RefSeq, a predicted model, not a curated record